UACAGAGGGUGCAAGCGUUGUUCGGAAUUAUUGGGCGUAAAGGGCGCGUAGGCGGUGCGGUAAGUCUGUAGUGAAAUCUCUGGGCUCAACUCAGAGUCUGCUGCAGAAACUGCCGUGCUUGAGUGUGGGAGAGGUGAGUGGAAUUCCCGGUGUAGCGGCGAAAUGCGUAGAUAUCGGGAGGAACACCAGUAGCGAAGGCGGCACUCUGGGCCGGUACUGACGCUGAGGAGCGAAAGCGUGGGGAGCGAACAGG
This 253-nucleotide ribosomal RNA is filed under the name uncultured bacterium. RNAcentral describes it as "partial 16S ribosomal RNA". It matches the Rfam family "Bacterial small subunit ribosomal RNA", at positions 524 to 776 of the family's 1533-position model. The record is from RNAcentral.